CUACGGGUUGCAGCAGUGGGGAAUAUUGGACAAUGGGGGAAACCCUGAUCCAGCAAUGCCGCGUGUGUGAAGAAGGCCUGCGGGUUGUAAAGCACUUUCGGUUGGGAGGACUGCUUCUAGCACUAAUAUUGUUGGAAGUUGACGUUACCUUCAGAAGAAGCACCGGCUAACUCCGUGCCAGCAGCCGCGGUAAUAGGGCGGGUGCAAGCGUUAAUCGGAAUUACUGGGCGUAAAGCGCGCGUAGGCGGCUAGAUCAGUCGGGUGUGAAAGCCCCGGGCUUAACCUGGGAACUGCAUCCGAUACUGUCUAGCUUGAGUACAGGAGAGGAGAGUGGAAUUCCACAUGUAGCGGUGAAAUGCGUAGAUAUGUGGAGGAACACCAAUGGCGAAGGCAGCUCUCUGGCCUGAUACUGACGCUGAGGUGCGAAAGCGUGGGGAGCAAACAGGAUUAGAUACCCUUGUAGUC
This 465-nucleotide ribosomal RNA is filed under the name uncultured bacterium. Its description in RNAcentral is "partial 16S ribosomal RNA". It matches the Rfam family "Bacterial small subunit ribosomal RNA", at positions 339 to 795 of the family's 1533-position model. The record is from RNAcentral.